This 224-nucleotide long non-coding RNA is filed under the name Vitis vinifera (wine grape). RNAcentral's name for it is "long non-coding RNA (VVIN_LNC004675)". Lineage: Eukaryota; Viridiplantae; Streptophyta; Magnoliopsida; Vitales; Vitaceae. The record is from RNAcentral.
AACAACAUACCCAUGUGAAACUGUCUCUACGUCUUCAAAGCAAAAUGAGCAAAAGUCUGCGGAGCUCUAGGUCUAAGAUAGGAAGUUAGGGGUCUCGCUGAAAACUGUGAUGCGUAGCAUGGCUGUAUUAGGGUAGGAUAUGAAGUCGAAGGUCUCUCUAUGCCCUGUGCGGCAUAAUAAGGCAGUGUUAGUGUGGGAGGUAAGUAAGCCUGAUCAUACGACUG